Long non-coding RNA from Myotis brandtii (Brandt's bat), 399 nucleotides. RefSeq lists it as uncharacterized. The record is from RefSeq and is a predicted model, not a curated record. NCBI's taxonomy places the organism in Eukaryota, Metazoa, Chordata, Mammalia, Chiroptera, Vespertilionidae. The transcript is spliced from 3 exons.
CCUAGGUUAUCAUCGGGAGCAUCUUUGAGGUCAUCUGGGCCGUCAUAAAACCUGGUACAUCCUUUGGAAUCAGCGUGUUACGAGCCCUCAGGUUAUUGCGUAUUUUCAAAGUCACAAAGUACUGGGCGUCUCUCAGGAAUCUGGUCGUCUCUCUUCUCAACUCCAUGAAAUCCAUCAUCAGCCUGUUGUUCCUCCUUUUCCUGUUUAUCGUCGUCUUUGCACUUUUAGGAAUGCAGCUCUUUGGCGGCCAGUUUAAUUUCGAUGAAGGGACUCCUCCUACCAACUUCGACACUUUUCCAGCAGCAAUAAUGACGGUGUUUCAGGUACAACCCUAACCCAGCCCCGCGCCAUGCAGGGCCACAGGAAAGCACCAGAAUCCAGAGCAGAGGGAGGAGGACC